GAUGAACGCUGGCGGCGUGCCUAAUACAUGCAAGUCGAGCGAAAGGACGCGACGUUUGUUUCUUUGAUGUUAGCGGCGCACGGGUGAGUCACAUGUGUAUAACCUACUUAUCAUACUGGGAUCACUUCGGAACAGCGGCGAUAAUCCCGGAUGAUAUUUUGAAGCGCAUGGUUGAAAAGUGAAAUACGGUCUUGCUGUCACUUCUCGCUGCAUCUCAGCUGCAUGAGCUAGUUGGUACGGUAACGGCUUAUCACGGCAACGAUGCAUAGCCGACCUGUGAGAGUGGUCGGCCACACGGGAGCUGAGACGCGCACCUUACUCCUGCGGGAGGCAGCAGUAGGGAACCUUCCGCAGUGGGGGAAAGCCUGACGGAGCAACGCGGCGUGAGUGGUGAAGGUCUUCGGAUCGUAAAACUCUGUUAUGAGGGAAGAACAUAUGUGGAAGGAACUGUGGAGAUCGUGACGGUACCGGAUCAGAAAGCCACGGCUAACUACGUG
This 497-nucleotide ribosomal RNA is filed under the name uncultured bacterium. RNAcentral describes it as "partial 16S ribosomal RNA". It matches the Rfam family "Bacterial small subunit ribosomal RNA", at positions 28 to 507 of the family's 1533-position model. The record is from RNAcentral.